Molecule: transfer RNA, 72 nt
Filed under: Oxalobacteraceae bacterium
Lineage: Bacteria; Pseudomonadati; Pseudomonadota; Betaproteobacteria; Burkholderiales; Oxalobacteraceae
Description: tRNA-Gly
Rfam family: tRNA
About the family: Transfer RNA (tRNA) molecules are approximately 80 nucleotides in length. Their secondary structure includes four short double-helical elements and three loops (D, anti-codon, and T loops). Further hydrogen bonds mediate the characteristic L-shaped molecular structure. tRNAs have two regions of fundamental functional importance: the anti-codon, which is responsible for specific mRNA codon recognition, and the 3' end, to which the tRNAs corresponding amino acid is attached (by aminoacyl-tRNA synthetases). tRNAs cope with the degeneracy of the genetic code in two manners: having more than one tRNA (with a specific anti-codon) for a particular amino acid; and 'wobble' base-pairing, i.e. permitting non-standard base-pairing at the 3rd anti-codon position.
Source: RNAcentral
GCGGGCGUAGCUAAGGGGUAUAGCGACACCUUGCCAAGGUGUAGGCCACGGGUUCGAUCCCCGUCGCCCGCU